This 210-nucleotide ribosomal RNA is filed under the name uncultured bacterium. RNAcentral's name for it is "partial 16S ribosomal RNA". It matches the Rfam family "Bacterial small subunit ribosomal RNA", at positions 524 to 732 of the family's 1533-position model. The record is from RNAcentral.
GACGUAGGGCGCGAGCGUUGUCCGGAUUUAUUGGGCGUAAAGAGCUCGUAGGCGGCUUGUCGCGUCGAAUGUGAAAUCUCAGGGCUCAACUCUGACAUUGCAUUCGAUACGGGCAGGCUAGAGUUCGGUAGGGGAGACUGGAAUUCCUGGUGUAGCGGUGAAAUGCGCAGAUAUCAGGAGGAACACCGAUGGCGAAGGCAGGGUCUCUGG